AAUAGAUACCCUGGUAGUCCUAGCUGUAAACGAUGAGCACUGGGUUGAGGGGACUUCCACAUCCUCUCGGCCGUAGCGAAAGCGUUAAGUGCUCCGCCUGGGGAGUAUGGCCGCAAGGCUGAAACUCAAAGGAAUUGACGGGGGCUCACACAAGCGGUGGAGGAUGUGGCUUAAUUCGAGGCUACGCGAAGAACCUUAUCCUAGAUUUGACAUGGUUGAGAAUCUCCUUGAAAGAGGAGAGUGCCCUUCGGGGAGCUCUUUCACAGGUGCUGCAUGGCUGUCGUCAGCUCGUGUCGUGAGAUGUUGGGUUAAGUCCCUUAACGAGCGAAACCCUUAUCUUUAGUUGCCAGCGGGUCAAGCCGGGGACUCUAAAGAGACUGCCGGUGUCAAACCGGAGGAAGGUGGGGAUGACGUCAAGUCCUCAUGGCCUUUAUGUCUAGGGCUGCACACGUCCUACAAUGGCACGUACAAAGGGAAGCCAAGCCGCGAGGCCGCGCUAAUCCCGAAAAAAGCGUGCCCCGAGUUCGGAUUGCAGG
RNAcentral lists this ribosomal RNA (536 nucleotides) under uncultured bacterium. RNAcentral's name for it is "bacterial SSU rRNA". It matches the Rfam family "Bacterial small subunit ribosomal RNA", at positions 777 to 1304 of the family's 1533-position model. The record is from RNAcentral.